Carassius carassius (crucian carp) is the source of this 1003-nucleotide long non-coding RNA. RefSeq lists it as uncharacterized. The transcript has 2 exons. The record is from RefSeq and is a predicted model, not a curated record. NCBI's taxonomy places the organism in Eukaryota, Metazoa, Chordata, Actinopteri, Cypriniformes, Cyprinidae.
CAUUUUGAGCUUCCAAGUGGCGUCAGCUUUUUUACAUCAAUCUAAGCUUUCGCUUUUUGAUAAGUGGCGCUCACAAUCUGAAUUCUCCUCCAAACAUCGGAGAUUUCUAUUUGUACGAACUUGAGAGCUCGGUUUGACAUGCAAUGCGCAUGAUAGGCAAGUCUAUGCUAAAAUCACAAGGAUUUGACAUUUAUUUGGCACAAAUCAUCAAUAUGAACUAAAAUUGUGUGUUCUUAUUCAACCGAGAGAAAAAAAACGAUCAGCUAAACAAGGCCUAUAAACUAUUUUUUUCAAUGUGUACACAAGUAUGAAAUCAUUUAAAAAAAAAUUCUUUAAAAAAAAUGGUUUAGUCAAUUAUACACGCGUUUUUGUUACAAGAUAAUGCAACUUAUUUAAAAUUUGUGGAUAGAAAUGUGUAUGCAAAUUAAGGACACUUUAACCCUGCGGAAUAUGAAGUCAGAGGGCAUGGCCAACAACCACAAAACAGCCGUGUGUUCCCAUCUCCACAGUCCGCAGAGAGGAACGUGCAACUAAAAAAAGAGAUGGGAAAAGUUUCUAAAAAUUGAAUAUUCGUACAUUUCCUGCAUUCAUUGCCUUGGAUUUCUCAGGAGUCAAAGACAGAGGUUCGAAAUUAAAGCUCACAAAUACACAGAGGCUUGCGCACGGUGAGUCUCCAGGUGUACAUGUGGCACAGUGGCGCUCUUGAGGACGCAUUCCAGCCUGUGAUGAGGUGAAAGGUCCAACGCAAGUGACAGAGCACUUAAACAACCUUUCUUCUGCUGCCUCCCGCAAUUAAUGUUAUUGAAGGACUGAAAUGAUGCUAAUAGUUAGGCAGAAAGCCUCUGGCUGUGUGGAAACACAUGCAUAUACUCAGUUUGUCAUUGCAUUUUUAUCAUCGCGUUUAUAAAAUGUGUAAGUUAAGCAGAAUUCCCUGCAGUGAUUUCAAAUGAGGUAAGGACUGAAUGAAUGAUAAUAAAAUAAUUAGCCCUUGGAAGUGUUUUAA